UUCUUGUAGGCAGCGUUUCCUUGCUCUUUCUCCUUCUUCGCCUCCUCCUUCCUCUCUUUCUUCUCCCUCUCCUCCUCCGUCAACUCCAUAGGCUCAGGCUCCGGCUCAGGCUCCGGUUCAACCUUCUUCGCCGGCUCAGCCUCAUUCAUCUCCGUGUCUUCUCCCUUAGACCCGGCAAACUUAACAUUCAACAAAACACCCAACGCCUGCAUCACUCUCUUAUCCUUCAUGUACAAAUUAAGAUUGUUAGGGUUCUUCUGAAU
Molecule: long non-coding RNA, 263 nt
Filed under: Brassica napus (rape)
Lineage: Eukaryota; Viridiplantae; Streptophyta; Magnoliopsida; Brassicales; Brassicaceae
Description: long non-coding RNA (BNAP_LNC004184)
Source: RNAcentral